This 320-nucleotide ribosomal RNA is filed under the name uncultured eukaryote. RNAcentral describes it as "partial 18S ribosomal RNA". It matches the Rfam family "Eukaryotic small subunit ribosomal RNA", at positions 1470 to 1796 of the family's 1831-position model. The record is from RNAcentral.
CCCUUAGAUGUUCUGGGCGGCCCGCGCACUACAUUGGCACUCUCAAUAAGUUCCUAGAUCUAAAACUUUGGGGUAUUCUAUUAAGUGGUGUCGUGACUGGGAUUAACCCUUGCAAUUAUUGGUUACGAACGAGGAAUUCCUUGUAAUCGCGGUUUAUCAGCCCGCGUUGAAUGCGUCCCUGCCCUUUGUACACACCGCCCGUCGCUCCUACCGAUGAAUCGUCCGGUGAAUAAUUCGGACUGACGCAGUGCUCAGCUUCUGGACGUUGCGUCGGAAAGUUUCAUGAACCUUAUCACUUAGAGGAAGGAGAAGUCGUAACA